GUCAAGAUGGCCGAGUGGUUAAAGAGCCAGAAUUAAGAUUCUAAUUCAAAUAAUAGAUUAAUAGGUAAUCUUUUGAUAUCCGUUACUUGGCAUUCUGGUCUUCUAAGAAGGCGUGGGUUCGAACCCCACUCUUGACA
Non-coding RNA from Daphnia pulex (common water flea), 137 nucleotides. The record is from Rfam. NCBI's taxonomy places the organism in Eukaryota, Metazoa, Arthropoda, Branchiopoda, Diplostraca, Daphniidae.